RNAcentral lists this ribosomal RNA (369 nucleotides) under uncultured phototrophic eukaryote. Its description in RNAcentral is "SSU rRNA". It matches the Rfam family "Bacterial small subunit ribosomal RNA", at positions 524 to 896 of the family's 1533-position model. The record is from RNAcentral.
GACGGAGGAUGCAAGUGUUAUCCGGAAUCACUGGGCGUAAAGCGUCUGUAGGUGGUUUAGUAAGUCGAAUGUUAAAUCUUGAAGCUUAACUUCGAAAUCGCAUUCGAAACUAUGAGACUUGAGUAUAGUAGAGGUAAAGGGAAUUUCCAGUGGAGCGGUGAAAUGCGUAGAUAUUGGAAAGAACACCAAUUGCGAAGGCACUUUACUGGGCUAUUACUGACACUCAGAGACGAAAGCUAGGGUAGCAAAUGGGAUUAGAUACCCCAGUAGUCCUAGCCGUAAACAAUGGAUACUAGAUGUUGAACAGUCGCUGCAGUAUCAAAUCUAACGCGUUAAGUAUCCCGCCUGGGAAGUAUGCUCGCCAGAGUG